UUACCAUGAUGGGGACAUUACCUUAACAACUCCUUAAAUAUUUUCCAAGCAUCAAAUACAUAUUCUCCCUCCCCUUGUCGAAAUGAAGUAAUCUUGUUCCUCAUUUU
This is a small nucleolar RNA of Vicia villosa (hairy vetch), 107 nucleotides long. The record is from RefSeq and is a predicted model, not a curated record. NCBI's taxonomy places the organism in Eukaryota, Viridiplantae, Streptophyta, Magnoliopsida, Fabales, Fabaceae.